Molecule: long non-coding RNA, 584 nt
Organism: Macrobrachium nipponense
Lineage: Eukaryota; Metazoa; Arthropoda; Malacostraca; Decapoda; Palaemonidae
Exons: 3
Source: RefSeq, a predicted model, not a curated record
CUUGACCUUAUUCGAUGGCAGGUCGAGGUAGGAGUCCCGGAUGGCGUUGUUAACAGCAAUGCGAGUGACCUCUUGGCUGCUGUUGAGUCUGCAAUACCAAUUUUAAUUUCAGUGCCUCCGAUAACUUUUGAGGUUUUAUAAAGACUAUAGAUUGAGACUCACGUGAUGAUGGGGAACUUGGAGAUUUUGUAGAACUCUUCCAUCUCCCAGGAGAAGUUGGCGUGCCCUUUGUCCCAGAAGUAGGAGUCGGUGGUGGUCAGGAUCUGGAAGGCCUCCGGGUGUUCCCUCCGGAGGAGCUCGGCGCCAAAGAGUCCAUCUGCAACGACGCUCUCGCCUCCGGUGCCGACGUGCUGCUUCAAGCAGUGGAUGAAGAUGAUCUGUGGAAGGGGGACGAUAGAAUCAGUAAUGACAAAACAUUAUACAAAACUCAAAUCUCUUUAGUAUGAAAAGAGAUGUACUGACACGAGCAUGAAGAAAUCCUCCUUACCCUUGGCAGAGCAUAAACUCUCCUCCUGAGGGCUCUGGCUGUUGGCGUGAAUGCCCUGGCAUGGAGCCAUUCUGCUGGGUACUCGGACACGUGCCCG